ACUGGCUGAAACCACAACGGUUGUUUGCAAUCUGCACUCUAACUUUGGAUCACCUAGUUAAUACUCUGACUCUGAUUAUUACCAAAGACAAUAUUCUCUAAAAGAUAUUCUCUAUAAGAAGGAUGCUCCUGCAUUAUUAAUAACAUCACAGGGAAAAUGCAACAUUUUGGAUGUCACAUCUGAUAAGUUGGCAGUUAAAGAACAGAAACACAGCAAUAAGACUGAGUGGCUACAUUUUCCCAGUGCCACCAACUGGGAGUUAAGCUGACUAACAUUUUGAAAGCCCAGCCCAUUUCAUUCACAGCAGGAUGGCAGUGGGUGACUGAUCAUACCCGCCGGCUGGCUAAUGUCAUAAUUAACAAAGUUGCUACUACAUCGGCAAAGUUUAAUCGAAAAAUUUGCCAGUGAUAUGAUGGCAUUGUCACAGAGAUCACAAGGGACACGGAGUCGACUUUUGCUCAAGAUGGAACGACAGAGCUGUGUAGGCAAGAUGAGAAAUUGCAAACUUGUUCGGCCAAAGGAGGCUAAUAAUGAAGGGGCCGGGAAGGAGGCCAGUGCUACCAGGGUUAUCUCACAACCUCAGAUGCUGGAUAAGUCGAAGGAGGCAGAAUCGCUUUGGGAUGACAUUCAGAAAGGCUGGAGUGAUUACUUGGAAGAGAAAAGCCUACCUAUUCUUUCCAAGGUUCAGGAAUAUUCCCCUGACCUGCUCAUCCAAUGGUCCAGUAAUGAAUUACUGGAGACCUGCCUUAGACAAAGAAUGCACUCGGAGCCCCAACACACCUAA
This 784-nucleotide long non-coding RNA is filed under the name Macaca mulatta (Rhesus monkey). RNAcentral's name for it is "lncRNA (ENSMMUG00000040330.2)". The stretch from base 317 to 519 matches the Rfam family "Rhabdomyosarcoma 2 associated transcript conserved region 6". The record is from RNAcentral. Lineage: Eukaryota; Metazoa; Chordata; Mammalia; Primates; Cercopithecidae.